GAUGAACGCUAGCUACAGGCUUAACACAUGCAAGUCGAGGGGUAACAAGAGAAAAGCUUGCUUUUCUUGUUGACGACCGGCGCACGGGUGAGUAACGCGUAUCCAACCUGCCCAUAACUAGGGAAUAACCUUGCGAAAGUAAGACUAAUACCCUAUAAUUUCCUUUGACGGCAUCUGACGAGGAAUAAAGAUUUAUCGGUUAUGGAUGGGGAUGCGUCUGAUUAGCUCGUUGGCGGGGUAACGGCCCACCAAGGCAACGAUCAGUAGGGGUUUUGAGAGGAAGGUCCCCCACAGUGGAAGUGAGACACGGUCCAAACUCCUACAGGAGGCAGCAGUGAGGAAUAUUGGUCAAUGGGCGGAAGCCUGAACCAGCCAAGUAACGUGCAGGAUGACGGCCCUAUGGGUUGUAAACUGCUUUUAUACAGGAAUAAAGUUAGCCACGUGUGGUUAUUUGUAGGUACUGUAUGAAUAAGGACCGGCUAAUUCCGUGCCAGCCGCCGCCGUAA
RNAcentral lists this ribosomal RNA (506 nucleotides) under uncultured bacterium. RNAcentral describes it as "partial 16S ribosomal RNA". It matches the Rfam family "Bacterial small subunit ribosomal RNA", at positions 28 to 523 of the family's 1533-position model. The record is from RNAcentral.